Non-coding RNA from Arachis ipaensis, 204 nucleotides. Lineage: Eukaryota; Viridiplantae; Streptophyta; Magnoliopsida; Fabales; Fabaceae. The record is from RefSeq and is a predicted model, not a curated record.
ACAAUUGUUGAUAGUUUCUUCUAAUUUUGAUGCAGCUCCUGAAGUAGUUGAGAAGCCUGGGGAUAAUUCAUUAGCCAGGCUUAAAAUUUUGUAUACUCAAGCAAAAGAUCUUUCAGAUAGUGAAGCACAAAUUUCCUCUUUACUGAUAAACCAACUUGAUACACUACUGCCUUCAGGACAAGGUCAACCGCGAAGAAGAAUAGG